GACCUCAGAUCAGGCAAGAUUACCCGCUGAACUUAAGCAUAUCACUAAGCGGAGGAAAAGAAACUAACCAGGAUUCCCCUAGUAACGGCGAGUGAACCGGGAAAAGCCCAACUGAAAAUCCUUCGGGAAUUGUAGUCUACAGAGGCAUCCUCUGUGUCGCGCGCGGCCCAAGUUCCCUGGAAAGGGACGCCGGAGAGGGUGAGAGCCCCGUCGGCUGCGUCGCGUCACUCCACGAGGUGCUUUCACAGAGUCGGGUUGUUUGGGAAUGCAGCCCCAAUUGGGUGGUAAAUUCCAUCUAAGGCUAAAUACUGGCGAGAGACCGAUAGCGAACAAGUACCGUGAGGGAAAGAUGAAAAGCACUUUGAAAAGAGAGUUAAAAGGGCCUGAAAUUGUAAAGUGGGAAGCGAAUGGUUUCCGGUGUGCGCCUCGGUUUUAUGUCAGCUUAACGGCUGGCCUCUCAACGCGAGGCGCUGGUCAGCGUGGGUUGGACGGGGGGUACAAAAACUUUUGUGCAUGCCUCCUGUCCGACUGAGGUCGAAGCGUGCCCCAGUCAUUGAACUGCGCGCUCGAGACGCUGGCGAAAGGGAACCCUUCGGCCCGUCUUGAAACACGGACCAAGGAGUCUAAC
Molecule: ribosomal RNA, 628 nt
Filed under: uncultured Chlorophyceae
Lineage: Eukaryota; Viridiplantae; Chlorophyta; Chlorophyceae
Description: partial Eukaryotic large subunit ribosomal RNA
Rfam family: Eukaryotic large subunit ribosomal RNA
Source: RNAcentral